Molecule: ribosomal RNA, 1438 nt
Filed under: uncultured organism
Description: partial small subunit ribosomal RNA
Rfam family: Bacterial small subunit ribosomal RNA
Source: RNAcentral
CUCUGGCGGCGUGCUUAACACAUGCAAGUCGAACGGAAAGGCCCUGCUUUUGUGGGGUGCUCGAGUGGCGAACGGGUGAGUAACACGUGAGUAACCUGCCCUUGACUUUGGGAUAACUUCAGGAAACUGGGGCUAAUACCGGAUAGGAGCUCCUGCUGCAUGGUGGGGGUUGGAAAGUUUCGGCGGUUGGGGAUGGACUCGCGGCUUAUCAGCUUGUUGGUGGGGUAGUGGCUUACCAAGGCUUUGACGGGUAGCCGGCCUGAGAGGGUGACCGGCCACAUUGGGGCUGAGAUACGGCCCAGACUCCUACGGGAGGCAGCAGUGGGGAAUAUUGCACAAUGGGCGGAAGCCUGAUGCAGCAACGCCGCGUGCGGGAUGACGGCCUUCGGGUUGUAAACCGCUUUCGCCUGUGACGAAGCGUGAGUGACGGUAAUGGGUAAAGAAGCACCGGCUAACUACGUGCCAGCAGCCGCGGUGAUACGUAGGGUGCGAGCGUUGUCCGGAUUUAUUGGGCGUAAAGGGCUCGUAGGUGGUUGAUCGCGUCGGAAGUGUAAUCUUGGGGCUUAACCCUGAGCGUGCUUUCGAUACGGGUUGACUUGAGGAAGGUAGGGGAGAAUGGAAUUCCUGGUGGAGCGGUGGAAUGCGCAGAUAUCAGGAGGAACACCAGUGGCGAAGGCGGUUCUCUGGGCCUUUCCUGACGCUGAGGAGCGAAAGCGUGGGGAGCGAACAGGCUUAGAUACCCUGGUAGUCCACGCUGUAAACGGUGGGUACUAGGUGUGGGGUCCAUUCCACGGGUUCCGUGCCGUAGCUAACGCUUUAAGUACCCCGCCUGGGGAGUACGGCCGCAAGGCUAAAACUCAAAGGAAUUGACGGGGCCCCGCACAAGCGGCGGAGCAUGCGGAUUAAUUCGAUGCAACGCGUAGAACCUUACCUGGGUUUGACAUGGAUCGGGAGUGCUCAGAGAUGGGUGUGCCUCUUUUGGGGUCGGUUCACAGGUGGUGCAUGGCUGUCGUCAGCUCGUGUCGUGAGAUGUUGGGUUAAGUCCCGCAACGAGCGCAACCCUUGUUCACUGUUGCCAGCACGUUAUGGUGGGGACUCAGUGGAGACCGCCGGGGUCAACUCGGAGGAAGGUGGGGAUGACGUCAAGUCAUCAUGCCCCUUAUGUCCAGGGCUUCACGCAUGCUACAAUGGCUGGUACAGAGAGUGGCGAGCCUGUGAGGGUGAGCGAAUCUCGGAAAGCCGGUCUCAGUUCGGAUUGGGGUCUGCAACUCGACCUCAUGAAGUCGGAGUCGCUAGUAAUCGCAGAUCAGCAACGCUGCGGUGAAUACGUUCCCGGGGCUUGUACACACCGCCCGUCAAGUCAUGAAAGUUGGUAACACCCGAAGCCGGUGGCCUAACCGUUGUGGGGGAGCCGUCGAAGGUGGGACUGGUGAUUAGG